This 293-nucleotide ribosomal RNA is filed under the name uncultured bacterium. RNAcentral describes it as "partial 16S ribosomal RNA". It matches the Rfam family "Bacterial small subunit ribosomal RNA", at positions 48 to 339 of the family's 1533-position model. The record is from RNAcentral.
UUAACACAUGCAAGUCGAGGGCAGCGCGGGCGGCAACGUCCUGGCGGCGACCGGCGGAAGGGUGCGUAACGCGUGAGCGACAUGCCCGUUGCCCGGGGACAACCGGUGGAAACGCCGACUAAUCCCCGGUGGGAUACGAUGCUUCAUGGCAUUGUAUUGAAAGUUACGGCGGCGACGGAUUGGCUCGCGUCCGAUUAGCUGGUUGGCGGGGUAACGGCCCACCAAGGCUACGAUCGGUAGGGGUUCUGAGAGGAAGGCCCCCCACAAUGGGACUGAGACACGGCCCAUACUCC